UACGGAGGGUGCAAGCGUUAAUCGGAAUUACUGGGCGUAAAGCGCACGCAGGCGGUCUGGCAAGUCAGAUGUGAAAUCCCCGGGCUCAACCUGGGAACUGCAUUCGAAACUGGCAGACUAGAGUACUGUAGAGGGGGAUAGAAUUCCAGGUGUAGCGGUGAAAUGCGUAGAGAUCUGGAGGAAUACCGGUGGCGAAGGCGGCCCCCUGGACAUAUACUGACGCUCAGGUGCGAAAGCGUGGGGAGCAAACAGG
RNAcentral lists this ribosomal RNA (253 nucleotides) under uncultured bacterium. Its description in RNAcentral is "partial 16S ribosomal RNA". It matches the Rfam family "Bacterial small subunit ribosomal RNA", at positions 524 to 776 of the family's 1533-position model. The record is from RNAcentral.